Molecule: ribosomal RNA, 396 nt
Filed under: uncultured bacterium
Lineage: Bacteria
Description: partial 16S ribosomal RNA
Rfam family: Bacterial small subunit ribosomal RNA
Source: RNAcentral
AUACGUAGGGGGCGAGCGUUGUCCGGAAUGAUUGGGCGUAAAGGGCGCGUAGGCGGCCCGGUAAGUCUGGAGUGAAAGUCCUGUUUUUAAGAUGGGAAUUGCUUUGGAUACUGUCGGGCUUGAGUGCAGGAGAGGUAAGUGGAAUUCCCAGUGUAGCGGUGAAAUGCGUAGAGAUUGGGAGGAACACCAGUGGCGAAGGCGACUUACUGGGCCGUAACUGACGCUGAGGCGCGAAAGCAUGGGUAGCGAACAGGAUUAGAUACCCUGGUAGUCCACACUGUAAACGAUGAUGCUAGGUGUAGGGGGUAUCGACCCCUUCUGUGCCGCAGUCAACACAAUAAGCAUUCCGCCUGGGGAGUACGGCCGCAAGGUUGAAACUCAAAGGAAUUGGCGGGG